Molecule: ribosomal RNA, 237 nt
Filed under: uncultured bacterium
Lineage: Bacteria
Description: partial 16S ribosomal RNA
Rfam family: Bacterial small subunit ribosomal RNA
Source: RNAcentral
AAGUGGCGCACGGGUGAGUAACGCGUAGGAACAUACCUUGUUUUGGGGGAUAACACCGGGAAACUGGUGCUAAUACCGCAUAAGAUUCAAGUUGAAAUACUUGUCUUUAAAGCUCCGGCGAAACAAGAUUGGCCUGCGUUGGAUUAGCUUGUUGGUAGGGUAAUGGCCUACCAAGGCGACGAUCCAUAGCUGGUUUGAGAAGAUGAUCAGCCACAGUGGAACUGAGACACGGUCCAC